GGCAGAUGACUGCCCCUGAACAAGAGAGCGAGCGCAGAGAUAAAGACAGACUGGUGAAACUUCGUACUCUUGGAAAUAUUCGAUUAAUUGGAGAGCUUCUGAAGCAAAAGAUGGUGCCUGAGAAGAUUGUCCACCACAUUGUCCAGGAACUCCUAGGACCAGAUAACAAAACCUGUCCAGCUGAAGAAAACGUCGAGGCCAUCUGUCAAUUCUUUAACACCAUAGGUAAGCAGCUAGAUGAGAACACUAAGUCGCGUCGUAUUAAUGACAUGUACUUUGGCCGAUUGAAAGAACUGACCACACACACUCAGUUGGCCCCACGAUUGAAGUUCAUGGUCCGUGAUGUUCUUGAUUUGCGUGCUAACAAUUGGAUUCCUAGGCGUGAGGAGGUUAAAGCCAAAACUAUAAAUGAAAUACAUUCAGAGGCAGAAAAAAAUCUAGGACUACGUCCUGGUGCUACUAUUAAUAUCAGAAAUAGUCGCGUUGUGUCCGGUUCUCCUGGGAACACUAGCCCUGGGGGCUUUCCGAUCAAUCGACCUGGUUUUGGGGGCAUGAUGCCUGGCAUGCCAGGAACCAGGAAGAUGCCUGGUAUGCCAGGAAUGGAUAAUGACAAUUGGGAGGUACCUAGGGCCCGACCUGUACCAAGC
This 647-nucleotide unclassified non-coding RNA is filed under the name Hevea brasiliensis (rubber tree). The record is from RNAcentral. Lineage: Eukaryota; Viridiplantae; Streptophyta; Magnoliopsida; Malpighiales; Euphorbiaceae.